RNAcentral lists this ribosomal RNA (633 nucleotides) under Caulobacter sp. YP1. RNAcentral describes it as "bacterial SSU rRNA". It matches the Rfam family "Bacterial small subunit ribosomal RNA", at positions 55 to 734 of the family's 1533-position model. Lineage: Bacteria; Pseudomonadati; Pseudomonadota; Alphaproteobacteria; Caulobacterales; Caulobacteraceae. The record is from RNAcentral.
CUGCGAGUCGAACGGAUCCUUCGGGAUUAGUGGCGGACGGGUGAGUAACACGUGGGAACGUGCCCUUUGGUUCGGAACAACUCAGGGAAACUUGAGCUAAUACCGGAUAAGCCUUUCGAGGGAAAGAUUUAUCGCCAUUGGAGCGGCCCGCGUAGGAUUAGCUAGUUGGUGAGGUAAAAGCUCACCAAGGCGACGAUCCUUAGCUGGUCUGAGAGGAUGAUCAGCCACAUUGGGACUGAGACACGGCCCAAACUCCUACGGGAGGCAGCAGUGGGGAAUCUUGCGCAAUGGGCGAAAGCCUGACGCAGCCAUGCCGCGUGAAUGAUGAAGGUCUUAGGAUUGUAAAAUUCUUUCACCGGGGACGAUAAUGACGGUACCCGGAGAAGAAGCCCCGGCUAACUUCGUGCCAGCAGCCGCGGUAAUACGAAGGGGGCUAGCGUUGCUCGGAAUUACUGGGCGUAAAGGGAGCGUAGGCGGAUAGUUUAGUCAGAGGUGAAAGCCCAGGGCUCAACCUUGGAAUUGCCUUUGAUACUGGCUAUCUUGAGUACGGAAGAGGUAUGUGGAACUCCGAGUGUAGAGGUGAAAUUCGUAGAUAUUCGGAAGAACACCAGUGGCGAAGGCGACAUACUGGUC